CAGUAAAUAGUUUAAUUAAAAUAUUAAUUUUGGGGAUUAAAGUUGAGUAAUACUCUUUACUGA
This 63-nucleotide transfer RNA is filed under the name Notobitus montanus. Its description in RNAcentral is "tRNA-Pro". Lineage: Eukaryota; Metazoa; Arthropoda; Insecta; Hemiptera; Coreidae. The record is from RNAcentral.